RNAcentral lists this small RNA (27 nucleotides) under Bombyx mori (domestic silkworm). RNAcentral describes it as "ovarian small RNA-25528". The record is from RNAcentral. Lineage: Eukaryota; Metazoa; Arthropoda; Insecta; Lepidoptera; Bombycidae.
UCAGAAAUGGCUUUCACCAACCAGAGA